This 927-nucleotide ribosomal RNA is filed under the name Triticum aestivum (bread wheat). RNAcentral describes it as "partial small subunit ribosomal RNA". The record is from RNAcentral. Lineage: Eukaryota; Viridiplantae; Streptophyta; Magnoliopsida; Poales; Poaceae.
AUGGUACCGGGCAGCUCACCUUCCAAACUGUUGGUGUUGAGGUCCAAGACUUGCAACGCCGUCAUGUUGCCGAUCUCCAGAGGGAUCGUGCCGGUGAGCUGGUUGAAGAAGAGCGCCAACCUCAUGAGCUGCUUGAGGUUGCCGAACGAGCUGGGGAUCGGUCCCGUGAGAGAGUUCACCGACAAAUCCAGUUGUUCUAGGCUCACCAGCUCUCCCAGCUCUGCAGGGAUAGAGCCAACAAGGUUGUUGCUGAAGAGGUACAAGAAUUUCAGCUUGGUUGCCUUGCCGAGCUCCGGUGGAAUCUUCCCUGAAAAUGAGUUGUUCUGCACUUGGAAUGAUAUGAGCUUUGGCCAGUCCGUGAACAAAACCUGCGGAAUCCGACCAACGAGUCUGUUUGACGCUAUGUUGAACUCACACAUUUGGUGCAUCCCGGCCAACCCUGGUGGCAGAACACUUGUGAGCUGGUUCAUGGACAGGUCCAUGAAAUUGACAUUGCCAAGAUUGCCCAACUCCUGUGGAAUAAUAGAAACCAAUCCGGCGUUCCCGAUGUCAAGGUGCUGUAGCUUUUCGAGCUGGCCAAGAAUGGCCGGGAUCGAUCCACCAAGUUGGUUGCUGUGGAGUUCGAGAGCUCUCAGCUCGGACAUCGACCCAAGGAACUCGGGGACUCCGCCAGUCAGAUUGUUAUUGCCAACCCGCAAGUCCUGGAGCUUACCCAGCUUUGACAGCGACGCUGGUAUCCGGCCCGAGAGGGCAUUGACGGACAGGUUGAGGUACAUGAGGCUGGGGAGGCUCUCCGAAAGCGAGUCCGGUAUCGGGCCGGAGAGAAUGUUCUGUGAAAGGUCCAGUGAGACGGCGCGGAAGCUUCAAGACCGUUUUGGCGCAGAGUGGUGGUUUGUUUGGUGGCAUGCUCCGGAUCGCCCGAGGUGA